AGGGCUGAGCCACUCUGUGUUGUGGGUGGGCUUGUGCACUCUGUCAGCACUGGCAAGGCCUCAAGGGCUGAUGAGAUAGCCAGCAGCCUCCAACCUGCAAGAGAAAGCAAACAUUUUUGCUAGUAGAAGAGACAGGGCUGUCACAGAAAGAACAGAGAGGUCAAAACAUGAACCUAGUGAAAUUCUAGCUCCUGUUUCCCCUAGAUUAAGGUGCCAUACGAGCAGCACUUUCUAACUUUUCCCCAGGCAGGAAGAAGGGAAGGACAGUGUCACAUUCAAACUAUCUGUCAGCUUGUGAUUCCCCUGCAAUCUCAUCACCUCCUGCAGGGAAGGUGAGCUCUGCCAGCCAGCUUCUCCAUCACUGUAGAUUUGCCACUGGCAAGCCAUCAUUUCUAUUUGCUUAGCGUUUGACACCUUUCCAAACUGUGGAAGCUGCUCUCUGUCCUGAAGAGAGCAGGGCAUCUGGGUGGAACAGCUUUUCACUACAUUAACUCCCUUCCUCAUGCUAGCCAAAUGCUGAUCUCAUCCUCUGGCUGUGCAUUGCCCCAUGUGUCCCUGCAGCAUCAGACACAGACUGAGGAGAAACAACGGCCUUGCUGGUUGCCCCAUCCCUUGCUGCUGGUGGCCACAGAGAGACCAGUAGUGAAGAUUCUUCACCAAACAGCAAAUUAACACAAGGCUUCAUUUACCUUUCUCUUUUAGUCCUCAUUAUCCAUUAAAAUCACAUUUAGAGCCCAAAUAAGACUUCAUAUCCAGGCAAAGUUGCCAGCCGUGUCUGUGAAAGCCUUUUUGAGCUGCUCUCCACUGAGCAUAAGCAUUAUAUGCAACAGAUCUGUGCAUGGACAGAAAGAUCUCAGCUGCUCAAGGGCAGAUACUUGUCUUGACAGAAGAAAGGUGGCCCCUGCCAGCAUACACACAUCUAUUCCCUCCCAGCAUUUCUCCUUCCUUCUGUUAACUGGCAGCAAGUUCACUGCUGGUUUCUGAGGAUCAAAGAUCCGUGUGAUCUGCAUCUCUCCUGCUCAUGGCAUUUAAGGCAGGGUGCCAGGAGGCUGAAGCAGCCAGGGCAACACACUUGAUCACAGACCCAUUGAAAUUACCUGAGAGAGUUAAUCCUCUCUCUAGUAAGCGGAUGUGUUUUGUGCAAGGGAUUCUUUUAGGAGAGCUCAGGAGUCCAGAGGUCUCUUUGUCCUGACACUCCCACACCAUUGCAAGGUGUUAAUCAUUAAGCUGGACAAGCUUCUCAACAGCUCCUCUGGGUCUGAAUCUCCCUUCUUUUGCUGCAGGGACCCAAAGAAUCUACAGAAAAAUCCUCUACACAGCUUCUCAGACAUUGAAACUUGAGCACACUCUGAAAUCUUGGUACAAGGGACUUGUAGGUGAUGGUCAGAAGAACUGGCUUUUCAACCACGAGGAGAUAGGAGAAAAAAAGACAGGGUGCCCUGACCACUUUGUUACCAGACUCUUAAACUUCAUGGCAGCUGAUGCUGCUGGCAGUUUAAACCACUGACCCCACUUCAAUGAGGGCCAGAGUAACUGCGCUGACCGAAGUGAAGUCAGCUGUGCACCACUCAGGAACUGAGAUAAGCAUCUCUGCUCCCAGCAGCUCUCUGAUUCACCUGGUGGCACAGAGCAAUUCAGAAGAAGGUGCUACAAAGCAGAGGUGCUGCACACCCCGGGUCACCUCAUCUGAGCUGCAAUACAGGAUUUGCAGGAAUGGCUGGAGAAGAAAAGCUUAAAAGGAGACAGGGAAGUUUAAGAAAAUAAAGCCCCAAAGUUUUUAACAGGC
Parus major (Great Tit) is the source of this 1786-nucleotide long non-coding RNA. RefSeq lists it as uncharacterized. The transcript is spliced from 2 exons. Lineage: Eukaryota; Metazoa; Chordata; Aves; Passeriformes; Paridae. The record is from RefSeq and is a predicted model, not a curated record.